AUGAGACAAUAUUGGUGGGGUGUGGAGAAUGGUAGAAAUAAGAUGGCAUGGGUGGCUUGGGAUAAGUUAAUCUUGCCAAAGUCUAAAUGGGGCAUUGGCUUUCGGGAUAUGAGAGCUUAUAACCAAGCUUUGCUAGCCAAGCAAGCUUGGAGGCUUUUAACAGCCCCGGAGUCACUUUCUGCGAGGCUCCUUCAAGCUAAAUAUUUUCCGAACGGGAACCUAGUGGAUAUAGUAUUCCCAAAUAAUGGUUCGGCGAUAUGGAUAGAAUUGAACAUGGUCUGGAUUUAUUAA
Molecule: ribosomal RNA, 291 nt
Filed under: Triticum aestivum (bread wheat)
Lineage: Eukaryota; Viridiplantae; Streptophyta; Magnoliopsida; Poales; Poaceae
Description: partial small subunit ribosomal RNA
Source: RNAcentral